GAUGAAGAACGUAGCGAAAUGCGAUAAGUAGUGUGAAUUGCAGAAUUCAGUGAAUCAUCGAAUCUUUGAACGCACAUUGCGCCCUUUGGUAUUCCUUAGGGCAUGCCUGUUCGAGCGUCAUUUCACCACUCAAGCCUGGCUUGGUGUUGGGCGACGUCCCCUUUGGGGACGCGCCUCGAAACGCUCGGCGGCGUGGCACCGGCUUUAAGCGUAGCAGAAUCUUUCGCUUUGGAAGUCGGGGCCCCGUCUGCCGGAAGACCUACUCGCAAGGUUGACCUCGGAUCAGGCAGGGAUACCCGCUGAACUUAAGCAUAUCAAUAAGCGGAGGA
RNAcentral lists this unclassified non-coding RNA (329 nucleotides) under soil metagenome. Its description in RNAcentral is "partial contains 5.8S ribosomal RNA, internal transcribed spacer 2, and large subunit ribosomal RNA". The stretch from base 1 to 120 matches the Rfam family "5.8S ribosomal RNA", at positions 35 to 154 of the family's 154-position model. The record is from RNAcentral.